GGUAACUUGAUUUAGUUGAGUUGGAAUGUAGUUCUCAUGCUUUUUUAUAUAAUUGUGUAAUUCAUCUUUUUAGUAACAUAACUAGGGGAAGCACGAUUCAUAUAAGAUAUUCUCCUUACCUGAGAAGAAUGCAUUUCUUUUCCGGCUUUCUUACAUGCUCUCUGGUCAUUACAUUUGUGUGCUUCUAUUACUAUUAGCAAAAGUGGAAUUCAGAUAAUAUUUCUUUGCAUCACAACAGAUGUCUAUAAUGAAUGCUUGCAAUGGAGGUUUCCCUUUGAUCCUAAGUCAGUCGAUGUAGAUACUUCAAUUUGUUUAAACCUGUGAGAUACACUGUCAUUCUUCAAUUAGUUACAGCUCACUUUUUGUUGUUUUCAUUGUUGUGCUGAAAAUAAAUUCUUAGUUCAUCAUGUGUUCCUGUUUUUGCCUCUCGUGUAUUCUAACAGGAGAAAAUAGCUGAUGAGAUAUUCAAGAUAUUAGUCAGUCAAAUGGCAGAAAGACAUAAUUAUUAAUCUAUUUAGUGUACGAUGCUGUCUGAAACUCAACGAUUUAUUCAUUUGAGUUUAGUACUCCCUCGGUUCCUAAAUAUUUGUCUUUUUAGAGAUUUCAAACGGACACCACAUACGGAUGUAUAUAGACAUAUUUUAGAGCAUAGAUUCACUCAUUUGGCUUUGUAUCUAGUCACUUGUUGAAAUCUCUAGAAAGACAAAUAUUUAGGAACGGAGGGAGUACAUAAGAUUAGCCUUUUCCCAUAGGGAACAUGUGAGUUCAUAUAUAAACUGUAGAUUGUGAAUUCACGACACAGUAGCGAGCUACACCAAUGCCGGUCUGAAUUCCUAGAUUCAGCAAACUCCUUUUGUGUGUCAUAUAGAACAUCCAGAUUAGAUAGAGCAAAGACAGAGACCGAUUAUAAGAGUUCAGGGAUAUGUGCAAGAGGGAGGGGAUGAGCUUGAGGCUUACGAGCUAUUGAAAUAAUCAGACGUGCAUGGUUUCUUGAAUUUUCAAUUUCUCUAUCUGUCAACCCGAAGAUUUGUUUUCUUGUUUGCGACAAACUCCAGGGGAAAAAAAUGUGAAACAGAAUAUGUCUGCCUACAGGCAUUCAGUCAAGGCUUUAAUGAGAAGUUCGGUGAGUUGCUUUUAUAUCUGAUUUGCAUACUUAUGAUUCCAAUAAAUAAGAUAUAUCUAUGAAUAGUUUGGUCACCAGCAUAUGAGUUGAUGAACCAAGAGCAUGUGGUAGUGGUAGGCAUGAUUCCAAGUCGUGGUUCCUUUUUUUUGUCUGACUGGCAUGGAAAAUGAUGAUUCAUUUUAUGUAAUCAUCUUAUUUUAUUUUUCUGCCUUGUGAGUAAAGCUUGCUUUUUUUAAUUAGGCCAAAGCUUUCAUCCGCUAUACAGAAGAAAGCAAAUAACUUGAUGCUAACAUGAGUUAGUUUGCUAUUUGUGGAAGGCAAAUGUGUGUGAACACGUGAAAAUGCAUAGAGAAUGCAUCGAGGCGCUCCAGCAAUACGAGUGCGCAGAGAGGUUCACUAAACAGAAGAGUACCUCCAGGUGUGCAUUAACCAGGAUCAAAAUGCAUUGUCAAUCAAGCUUGCAGAUGGCGAGGUCUUCGUCGUCACUCGCCUCAUCACAGGAAAUGACAAGAUGACCGCCAUAACAACCAACUGAGUUCCGCCGUCAGCAAACAUACAUGAGGGAGACAUUCUACUUCAGACGCAAGGCAAUGCGCAAGGCGUACCGUCGACUAUCGCCUAUAAAUAUAAUCCAUGUAUCAUGCUCAUGUAUAUUGGACCUUCUACGUUUGCCCCUUGCCUUACUUUUGGAACCACCUGAACUAUCUGUAAUGUAUCAUCUAGAUAUCGAUGUACUACCUAUGUGUUCGUAUGUUUUUAUCAUUAAGAUUAAUAUCCUUUCUUCCCCUGUCACUUCUCGGGGAUGCCACAAAAGGAAAAAU
This 1944-nucleotide ribosomal RNA is filed under the name Triticum aestivum (bread wheat). Its description in RNAcentral is "partial small subunit ribosomal RNA". Lineage: Eukaryota; Viridiplantae; Streptophyta; Magnoliopsida; Poales; Poaceae. The record is from RNAcentral.